GUCUAAGUAUAAGCAACUAUACGGUGAAACUGCGAAUGGCUCAUUAAAUCAGUUAUCGUUUAUUUGAUAGUACCUUACUACAUGGAUAACCGUGGUAAUUCUAGAGCUAAUACAUGCUAAAAACCCCGACUUCGGAAGGGGUGUAUUUAUUAGAUAAAAAACCAAUGCCCUUCGGGGCUUCUUGGUGAUUCAUAAUAACUUAACGAAUCGCAUGGCCUUGCGCCGGCGAUGGUUCAUUCAAAUUUCUGCCCUAUCAACUUUCGAUGGUAGGAUAGUGGCCUACCAUGGUAUCAACGGGUAACGGGGAAUUAGGGUUCGACUCCGGAGAGGGAGCCUGAGAAACGGCUACCACAUCCAAGGAAGGCAGCAGGCGCGCAAAUUACCCAAUCCCGACACGGGGAGGUAGUGACAAUAAAUACUGAUACAGGGCUCUUUUGGGUCUUGUAAUUGGAAUGAGUACAAUCUAAAUCCCUUAACGAGGAACAAUUGGAGGGCAAGU
Molecule: ribosomal RNA, 499 nt
Filed under: Phaeosclera sp. TRN524
Lineage: Eukaryota; Fungi; Ascomycota; Dothideomycetes
Also listed under: 1 other name
Description: SSU rRNA
Rfam family: Eukaryotic small subunit ribosomal RNA
Source: RNAcentral